AGCGAACGCUGGCGGCAGGCUUAACACAUGCAAGUCGAACGAGACCUUCGGGUCUAGUGGCGCACGGGUGCGUAACGCGUGGGAAUCUGCCCUUUGCUACGGAAUAACUCAGAGAAAUUUGUGCUAAUACCGUAUAAUGUCGUAAGACCAAAGAUUUAUCGGCAAAGGAUGAGCCCGCGUAAGAUUAGCUUGUUGGUGAGGUAAAGGCUCACCAAGGCGACGAUCUUUAGCUGGUCUGAGAGGAUGAUCAGCCACACUGGGACUGAGACACGGCCCAGACUCCUACGGGAGGCAGCAGUGGGGAAUAUUGGACAAUGGGCGAAAGCCUGAUCCAGCAAUGCCGCGUGAGUGAUGAAGGCCUUAGGGUUGUAAAGCUCUUUUACCAGGGAUGAUAAUGACAGUACCUGGAGAAUAAGCUCCGGCUAACUCCGUGCCAGCAGCCGCGGUAAGGUGCGCGAGU
RNAcentral lists this ribosomal RNA (460 nucleotides) under uncultured bacterium. RNAcentral describes it as "bacterial SSU rRNA". It matches the Rfam family "Bacterial small subunit ribosomal RNA", at positions 29 to 535 of the family's 1533-position model. The record is from RNAcentral.